Molecule: ribosomal RNA, 460 nt
Filed under: uncultured bacterium
Lineage: Bacteria
Description: SSU rRNA
Rfam family: Bacterial small subunit ribosomal RNA
Source: RNAcentral
AGGAUGAACGCUGGCGGCGUGCCUAACACAUGCAAGUCGAACGAGAAAGUGGAGCAAUCCAUGAGUAAAGUGGCGCACGGGUGAGUAACACGUGACUAACCUACCCUUGAGUGGGGGAUAACCUAGAGAAAUCUGGGCUAAUACCGCAUAAUACCUUCGGGUCAAAGGAGCAAUUCGCUUAAGGAGGGGGUCGCGGCCGAUUAGUUAGUUGGCGGGGUAAUGGCCCACCAAGACUGUGAUCGGUAUCCGGCCUGAGAGGGCGCACGGACACACUGGAACUGAAACACGGUCCAGACUCCUACGGGAGGCAGCAGUGGGGAAUUUUGCGCAAUGGGGGAAACCCUGACGCAGCAACGCCGCGUGGAGGAUGAAGCCCCUUGGGGCGUAAACUCCUUUCGAUCGGGAAGAUAAUGACGGUACCGAGAGAAGAAGCCCCGGCUAACUUCGCGCCAGCAGCCGC